GUCCUCUUGUGUGUUUAGGAGGUCAGACCUGCCCGGUGAAUAAAUUUUAACGGCCGCGGUAUUUUGACCGUGCAAAGGUAGCAUAAUCAUUAGUCUUUUAAUAGAGGGCUGGAAUGAAAGGUUUAACGAAACAUUAACUGUCUCAUUUAUAUAAUUUAAAAUUUAAUUUUUAAGUUAAAAAGCUUAAAUUUUGUUGUAGGACGAGAAGACCCUAUAGAGUUUUAUAAUAAAAAUAUUAAUAGAAGGAUUGAUUAAUGAUUUAUAUUAAUAUUUUUAUUAUUUUGUUGGGGUGACAAAAAUAUAUAAUUAACUUUUUUAUUUUAUAAACAUAAAUUUAUGAUUAUUUGAUCCAUUUUUAUUGAUUAUUAGAUUAAAUUACCUUAGGGAUAACAGCGUAAUCUUUUUUUGGAGUUCAAAUUUACAAAAAGGCUUGCGACCUCGAUGUUGGAUUAAGAUUAUAAUUUGGUGCAGUAGCUAAAUUAAUAGGUCUGUUCGACCUUUAAAUUCUUACAUGAUCUGAGUUCAGACCGG
This 531-nucleotide ribosomal RNA is filed under the name Spesbona angusta. RNAcentral's name for it is "partial 16S ribosomal RNA". It matches the Rfam family "Bacterial large subunit ribosomal RNA", at positions 1831 to 2619 of the family's 2925-position model. The record is from RNAcentral. Lineage: Eukaryota; Metazoa; Arthropoda; Insecta; Odonata; Platycnemididae.